GCCCCCGAUGCCGCAGGAGCCCUUCAUGGAGCUGGAGGAGGUGAACUGGCGGCUGCAGGUGCUCAUGGUGCCGAGGAGGGAGACAGGCCCCAACAGCCCCUGCUGGAGGCUCCACUGCUCUUCCUGGGAUCAACUGUUCCUAGAAGAGAAGCAGGACCUCUCUCACCCCACCCCCAACCUUGACUGUCACCAAAGAAGAAGCCAGAGAGGGGAGCCCCCCACUACUGUGGCCUAGGAGCUUGGAAGACAAUACUGAGACAGACACCUGUGCUGUGGGCUCCCCAAAUCUGCCAGCAAAGGACUCUCGAGGAUUCAAGGACUCAGUGACCAAGGAGCUGCAAACAGCCCGGCCAAGCAGGGAGCAGACUUAGAGGACACCACACUCCCGUCCCCUCCCUG
RNAcentral lists this long non-coding RNA (399 nucleotides) under Homo sapiens (human). RNAcentral describes it as "HSALNT0388807". Lineage: Eukaryota; Metazoa; Chordata; Mammalia; Primates; Hominidae. The record is from RNAcentral.